Molecule: ribosomal RNA, 484 nt
Filed under: uncultured bacterium
Lineage: Bacteria
Description: partial 16S ribosomal RNA
Rfam family: Bacterial small subunit ribosomal RNA
Source: RNAcentral
AUUGAACGCUGGCGGCAGGCCUAACACAUGCAAGUCGAGCGGAUGAAGGGAGCUUGCUCCUGGAUUCAGCGGCGGACGGGUGAGUAAUGCCUAGGAAUCUGCCUGGUAGUGGGGGAUAACGUCCGGAAACGGGCGCUAAUAGCGCAUACGUCCUGAGGGAGAAAGUGGGGGAUCUUCGGACCUCACGCUAUCAGAUGAGCCUAGGUCGGAUUAGCUUGUUGGUGGGGUAAAGGCCUACCAAGGCGACGAUCCGUAACUGGUCUGAGAGGAUGAUCAGUCACACUGGAACUGAGACACGGUCCAGACUCCUACGGGAGGCAGCAGUGGGGAAUAUUGGACAAUGGGCGAAAGCCUGAUCCAGCCAUGCCGCGUGUGUGAAGAAGGUCUUCGGAUUGUAAAGCACUUUAAGUUGGGAGGAAGGGCAGUAAGUUAAUACCUUGCUGUUUUGACGUUACCAACAGAAUAAGCACCGGCUAACUUCGUG